This is a long non-coding RNA of Oncorhynchus keta (chum salmon), 805 nucleotides long. RefSeq lists it as uncharacterized. The record is from RefSeq and is a predicted model, not a curated record. The transcript has 3 exons. NCBI's taxonomy places the organism in Eukaryota, Metazoa, Chordata, Actinopteri, Salmoniformes, Salmonidae.
GAGGGCGGGAUGGAGAGGGGAGGAAUUUGAUCAGUGUGAAAAGAGGAAGGGAUGGUAAGAAAGAGGAGGAUGAAGAGGGAGAGAGAAGGAUGGAGAGGUGACAGGUAUGUCGAUGGAUUGUGCGAGAAUAGGGCGUGAUAGCGAGGUGUGUCUUAGUAACACAUUUUAAUAUGUUUAAUGUAAAAGAUAUAGACCACAGUGUGUGAUCUCUGUGCUCCCCAGGUCUGGAGUGUUUGAUGUAAUAGAUAUAGACCACAGUGUGUGAUCUCUGUGCUCCCCAGGUCUGGAGUGUUUGAUGUAAUAGAUAUAGACCACAGUGUGUGAUCUCUGUGCUCCCCAGGUCUGGAGUGUUUGAUGUAAAAGAUAUAGACCACAGUGUGUGAUCUCUGUGCUCCCCAGGUCUGGAGUGUUUGAUGUAAAAGAUAUAGACCACAGUGUGUGAUCUCUGUGCUCCCCAGGUCUGGAGUGUUUGAUGUAAAAGAUAUAGACCACAGUGUGUGAUCUCUGUGCUCCCCAGGUCUGGAGUGUUUGAUGUAAUAGAUAUAGACCACAGUGUGUGAUCUCUGUGCUCCCCAGGUCUGGAGUGUUUGAUGUAAAGAUAUAGACCACAGUGUGUGAUCUCUGUGCUCCCCAGGUCUGGAGUGUUUGAUGUAAAAGAUAUAGACCACAGUGUGUGAUCUCUGUGCUCCCCAGGUCUGGAGUGUUUGAUGUAAUAGAUAUAGACCACAGUGUGUGAUCUCUGUGCUCCCCAGGUCUGGAGUGUUUGAUGUAAUAGAUAUAGACCACAGUGUGUGAUCUCUGUGCU